AACACAUGCAAGUCGAACGGAAACGAUGGUAGCUUGCUACCAGGCGUCGAGUGGCGGACGGGUGAGUAAUGCAUAGGAAUCUACCUUUUAGUGGGGGAUAACGUGGGGAAACCCACGCUAAUACCGCAUAAUCUCUACGGAGGAAAGUGGGGGAUCUUCGGACCUCAUGCUGAAAGAUGAGCCUAUGUCAGAUUAGCUUGUUGGUGGGGUAAUGGCCUACCAAGGCGACGAUCUGUAGCUGGUUUGAGAGAACGAUCAGCCACACUGGGACUGAGACACGGCCCAGACUCCUACGGGAGGCAGCAGUGGGGAAUAUUGGACAAUGGGCGCAAGCCUGAUCCAGCAAUGCCGCGUGUGUGAAGAAGGCCUGCGGGUUGUAAAGCACUUUCAGUUGGGAGGAAAGGUUUAAGUUUAAUACGCUUGAACUGUGACGUUACCAACAGAAGAAGCACCGGCUAACUCUGUGCCAGCAGCCGCGGUA
RNAcentral lists this ribosomal RNA (481 nucleotides) under uncultured bacterium. RNAcentral's name for it is "bacterial SSU rRNA". It matches the Rfam family "Bacterial small subunit ribosomal RNA", at positions 50 to 522 of the family's 1533-position model. The record is from RNAcentral.